Molecule: ribosomal RNA, 197 nt
Filed under: uncultured bacterium
Lineage: Bacteria
Description: partial 16S ribosomal RNA
Rfam family: Bacterial small subunit ribosomal RNA
Source: RNAcentral
ACGCUCGACACCUACGGGGGCAGCAGUGGGGAAUAUUGCACAAUGGGGGAAACCCUGAUGCAGCGACGCCGCGUGGAGGAAGAAGGUCUUCGGAUUGUAAACUCCUGUUGUUGGGGAAAAAGAGGAUGGUACCCAACAAGGAAGUGACGGCUAACUACGUGCCGGCAGCCGCGGUAAUCUGAGCGGGCUGGCAAGGC